This 76-nucleotide transfer RNA is filed under the name Gammaproteobacteria bacterium. RNAcentral describes it as "tRNA-His". It matches the Rfam family "tRNA". Rfam says of the family: Transfer RNA (tRNA) molecules are approximately 80 nucleotides in length. Their secondary structure includes four short double-helical elements and three loops (D, anti-codon, and T loops). RNAcentral also lists the same sequence under 1 other name. The record is from RNAcentral. Lineage: Bacteria; Pseudomonadati; Pseudomonadota; Gammaproteobacteria.
GUGAGCGUAGCUCAGUUGGUAGAGCUCCGGAUUGUGGUUCCGGCGGUCGUGGGUUCAAAUCCCAUCGCUCACCCCA